UACGUAGGGCGCAAGCGUUGUCCGGAAUUAUUGGGCGUAAAGAGCUCGUAGGCGGUCUGUUACGUCCGCUGUGAAAACCCAGGGCUUAACCCUGGGCUUGCAGUGGAUACGGGUAGACUAGAGGCAGGUAGGGGAGAAUGGAAUUCCCGGUGUAGCGGUGAAAUGCGCAGAUAUCGGGAGGAACACUGGUGGCGAAGGCGGUUCUCUGGGCCUGACCUGACGCUGAGGAGCGAAAGCGUGGGGAGCGAUCCGG
RNAcentral lists this ribosomal RNA (253 nucleotides) under uncultured bacterium. RNAcentral describes it as "partial 16S ribosomal RNA". It matches the Rfam family "Bacterial small subunit ribosomal RNA", at positions 524 to 776 of the family's 1533-position model. The record is from RNAcentral.